This 253-nucleotide ribosomal RNA is filed under the name uncultured bacterium. RNAcentral's name for it is "partial 16S ribosomal RNA". It matches the Rfam family "Bacterial small subunit ribosomal RNA", at positions 524 to 776 of the family's 1533-position model. The record is from RNAcentral.
UACGUAGGGUGCAAGCGUUGUCCGGAAUUAUUGGGCGUAAAGAGCUCGUAGGCGGUUUGUCGCGUCUGCUGUGAAAACCCGAGGCUCAACCUCGGGCCUGCGGUGGGUACGGGCAGACUAGAGUGUGGUAGGGGAGACUGGAAUUCCUGGUGUAGCGGUGAAAUGCGCAGAUAUCAGGAGGAACACCGAUGGCGAAGGCAGGUCUCUGGGCCACUACUGACGCUGAGAAGCGAAAGCGUGGGGAGCGAACAGG